Molecule: ribosomal RNA, 795 nt
Filed under: uncultured Pelagibacteraceae bacterium
Lineage: Bacteria; Pseudomonadati; Pseudomonadota; Alphaproteobacteria; Candidatus Pelagibacterales; Candidatus Pelagibacteraceae
Description: bacterial SSU rRNA
Rfam family: Bacterial small subunit ribosomal RNA
Source: RNAcentral
ACGCCUUAUACAUGCAAGUCGAACGAAGUAGCAAUACUUAGUGGCAGACGGGUGAGUAACAUGUAGGUAUCUUCCCUUUGGUGAGGAAUAACACGAGGAAACUUGUGCUAAUACCUCAUAAGUCUUUACGGAGAAAGCUUUAUGCGCCAUUGGAUGAGCCUGCACUUGAUUAGUUUGUUGGUGGGGUAAUGGCCUACCAAGACUGUGAUCAAUAGCUGAUCUGAGAGGAUGAUCAGCCACAUUGGGACUGAGACACGGCCCAAACUCCUACGGGAGGCAGCAGUAGGGAAUAUUGCACAAUGGAGGAAACUCUGAUGCAGCGAUGCCGCGUGAGUGAAGAAGGCCUUUGGGUUGUAAAGCUCUUUCGUCGGGGAAGAAAAUGACUGUACCCGAAUAAGAAGGUCCGGCUAACUUCGUGCCAGCAGCCGCGGUAAUACGAAGGGACCUAGCGUAGUUCGGAAUUACUGGGCUUAAAGAGUUCGUAGGUUGUUAAAAAAGUUGGUGGUGAAAUCCCAGAGCUCAACUCUGGAACUGCCAUCAAAACUUUUUAGCUAGAGUAUGAUAGAGGAAAGCAGAAUUUCUAGUGUAGAGGUGAAAUUCGUAGAUAUUAGAAAGAAUACCAAUUGCGAAGGCAGCUUUCUGGAUCAUUACUGACGCUGAGGAACGAAAGCAUGGGUAGCGAAGAGGAUUAGAUACCCUCGUAGUCCAUGCCGUAAACGAUGUGUGUUAGACGUUGGAAAUUUAUUUUCAGUGUCGCAGCGAAAGCAGUAAACACACCGCCUGGGGAGUACGACC